This 27-nucleotide non-coding RNA is filed under the name Mus musculus (house mouse). The record is from RNAcentral. Lineage: Eukaryota; Metazoa; Chordata; Mammalia; Rodentia; Muridae.
UGCAUACUUAACGGUGAUGGUACUCCA